GAGUCCACCGUUUACACGAGUGUCACGAGCGCUUCUUCAUUGCUCCACAGAAAGCCAACGACACAACUGUCACAACAGCUUUCAUCACUUAGUCUCGUCUGUGUUGUUAAUAAAGUGGGCCAUGAUGCUACAUUCCAGAAUGAUGAAAUUGGAACAAACAGAUAUUUGGUUUAGAAAAAGAAAAAAGGGUUGGCAUCAUCUAGGGUCAUCUGAGGGGUGGGCAUCAUCUCUUCUCAGGUGUUCUGGAUCCAGAGCUUGUGUAAAUCCUGGUUACCACGGGAUGUCAAUCCCAUUGUACAAGUAAUUAGCAAAGCUGCUGUUCCAACCAAGUAAAAUUAAUUACUUUAACCCAAGCUAAAGAAUAAUAAUUCACAUUUGAUCAGAUAUAACUGCAGUCCAAGAUGAUGAGAUGCAUUAUUUGAAUGCUUCGAAUGCUUAGGAUUAAAAGAGCAUAAUGCACCUGUUAAAUGUCUUGAAAUGUAGACAUCUGAAGUAGACUAAGGAAUUAAAUCCAUGAAGGUUU
Carassius gibelio (silver crucian carp) is the source of this 523-nucleotide long non-coding RNA. RefSeq lists it as uncharacterized. NCBI's taxonomy places the organism in Eukaryota, Metazoa, Chordata, Actinopteri, Cypriniformes, Cyprinidae. The record is from RefSeq and is a predicted model, not a curated record. The transcript has 2 exons.